UCAUUUUCAAAAAAUUCAAUGUAUUGUUUGUUUCUAUGGUACUUCCUUUACAUCUUUGAGCUGAAUUUCUUCUUGCUAUCAUUCUUGUACCUUAUGAUCUUUUAUUAAUAAACCACUUAUAGCUCCCACUAUAAGCCUUCUCCAUGAUGGUUGUGAAAUGUCCUAACCUUCAGUUGUAAAAUCUCUCCUCUGAAAUUUUAUCCCCAAAAAUGAUAAAAGAGCAAGUGAAGAAGAACCUGAGCCUACUAUAAGUGUGUCUGUUAGAUACAUGAUUGGCAAGAGAACUGGAGGCUUCAAUCUGUCCACCCAUUUGAAAGGUCUACCAUAAAUUCUAGCCCGGGACCCUUUGGCGGGUGCUCACGAGGUAUCUACCAUUACCAAUGCCAAAUAGAAUACAGCCGGCAGAAGGCGAAACCUCAAGAACAUAUUUUGGUGCAUAAAGUUCCUCAGCUUCUGCGUGAGUGAACAGCCUGACAAUGAAGGGGCGGUGGUUAUCAGCCUGUUAGCGUGAACUUGCUGCCAUCCCCGUCACUACCCACAACAGAGCUUACGAAAUGUCAUAUAUGCAGUGCAGUGCAGUGCAAUACAGGCAGAAGCAAAAACUUCUACAGCAGCAACCCUUCUACCUCUGCAACACAAAAGCAAUAGCACCUUCCAAAUUAAACAAUUUUCAACUCCAGCAGUUCUAAGGCGUAAGUCAGAAUAACAGAAAUCGUAUUUACAAUUAAACAAGCACCAAGAAUUGCAUAUAUGCUCCAUUAUUCCCAGAAAUGGGUUUUCCUGUGUUAAGUAGAAAUUUGGGAGAAAGGUAUUAUUGUAGACAGAUUUCCCUGACAAGUUAGCACAAAAAACUUGUAUCUAAUUCUAAUCCCAUAGUACAAUAAAAUCAAAUUGUUACACUAUUGGGUAUAAUCUCUUUCAUAGAUAGAUCAAAGACAGGAGUAGCAACUAACACUUCAAUAUAAAUUCCGAAGAAAUGACAAUUAUGAAAGUAAAAGUUGCUCUGGAACUAUAUGAACUACUUGGAAAAUGUUAAAUAGUCGGUGCUUACACUAUGAAAUCCAUAGGGACACAAAAGUGAUACUUCUCCAACAGAGCUGGGAAAGAUUUUACACCAAAAGCCAUUUUCUGAUAACAAAUAAAACUUGUGCAAAGGGUCUAUAUCUAAUGAAGAUACUUGAGAUCAUUACAAUGAUUGCCAGUGGUGGAACCACAAACUUUAGUCAACUAUUUUCUCUGCUAUAAAAUAUUAUGUUAAAGUCAUAACUCAUAACAUCUGUUGAGACAUAAAAAAAUUAUUUUUGGCAUAGAAGAGAUAGUUUGUCUCCUAUGACUUAAGAGUUUGCCUCAGCCAUCUAGGACUCGCUGUGCACACAAACAUGGCUCUAUGUUUUGUGCUUGUGGAGACAGUAGUUGGGCACUAAUUAAAUCAUCCAAGCAAGAAACCAUAUGAUAGUUUGUCAGUGUGUGAACAGAUGAAAAGUCACAUAUAUGGUAGUGAUAACAUAACAAUCCCCAGUGGGGGAAUGUGUCCCUACACCCAACAACAUGGAAUGUCCCUGAUGCACCUAACAACGUAGAACGUCCCUGAUGGUUGCAUGUGUUGACAUUAUUACACUAUAAUUACUAAAAUGGCAAGAAAGUAUCAUAUACCUUGUAUGUCCAAAAGGUG
RNAcentral lists this long non-coding RNA (1672 nucleotides) under Lupinus angustifolius (narrow-leaved blue lupine). Its description in RNAcentral is "long non-coding RNA (LANG_LNC001979)". The record is from RNAcentral. Lineage: Eukaryota; Viridiplantae; Streptophyta; Magnoliopsida; Fabales; Fabaceae.